Molecule: ribosomal RNA, 314 nt
Filed under: Anoxybacillus pushchinoensis
Lineage: Bacteria; Bacillati; Bacillota; Bacilli; Caryophanales; Anoxybacillaceae
Description: bacterial SSU rRNA
Rfam family: Bacterial small subunit ribosomal RNA
Source: RNAcentral
UUUCUAUGGAGAGUUUGAUCCUGGCUCAGGACGAACGCUGGCGGCGUGCCUAAUACAUGCAAGUCGAGCGGACGAUUCAAAAGCUUGCUUUUGAAUCGUUAGCGGCGGACGGGUGAGUAACACGUGGGCAACCUGCCCUGUAGACGGGGAUAACACCGAGAAAUCGGUGCUAAUACCGGAUAACACGAAAUGUCGCAUGACGUUUCGUUGAAAGGCGGCGCAAGCUGCCGCUACAGGAUGGGCCCGCGGCGCAUUAGCUAGUUGGUGAGGUAACGGCUCACCAAGGCGACGAUGCGUAGCCGACCUGAGAGGGU